Lynx canadensis (Canada lynx) is the source of this 851-nucleotide long non-coding RNA. RefSeq lists it as uncharacterized. The transcript has 3 exons. Lineage: Eukaryota; Metazoa; Chordata; Mammalia; Carnivora; Felidae. The record is from RefSeq and is a predicted model, not a curated record.
AGGGACCACGAAAAAUAAGACAUCUGAGUUACAAAAGCAAUAGGCAACGAACUUAAAGGAAUAUUUUCCAUCUGUGGAUAUAUCUGCACACACUUGCUGGAGCCGAUGGAAAACUUCAAAGAACUUCUAAGAAACAAUGGUUUUCAGAGAGCCUUGCAAAGUCAGAGCUCUAGUUUCUCCUAUGUCUGCAGUUUCUCAAAAUAGUUUUAUGCCAAAGAGACAUAUUUGGGGGCAGCGUAUUCUGCUACUCUUCACACUUAAUGUAUACUAAGAAUUGGGCUAAGCGGUUUACAUCGAUUCCCUCAUUUAAUUUUCACAAAAACUCUAUGAGAUAAGCAUUGUGACUCUCCCAUUUUAUAGAAGGGACUCAGAGAGGUAAGUAACUUGCCAGAAGUCACACAGCCAGCACCCUGUGGAGUUGUUAUGGGGAUUAAAUGAGAUAAUGUAUGUAACCAAGCGCUUAGAAUAGAGCCUUGUGUUGUCCCCAGAUUGUUGAUGAAUAUUAGUAGGAUUCUUUAUCUCACUCACUUAGGAGAGACCAUUCUGAUUUAGUCAAUGUGAAAAGAGAUCUUCACCAUCUAGAACAGCCACACUAGUUACCAGCUUAGCAGGAAGAUUUUUAAAUCAGCUGCCUAUGAAAAAUAUACAGAUUCAUCAAAUAUUCAUCAUAUUAAUUCUCAGAUCAUCUUCUAUAUAUGCUUUCAUAUAUAUAUAUAUAUAUGUUUCAUGUACAUAUGUUUCAGUGUUCACAGAACCUAUUUUUCACUGUAUAUGCAAAUUCUAUGUUUGUAAGUGAAAAUGUUAAUACAUUAAAUGAUUAACCCUUAAACAAAAGGUUUUCUAAAGGAUUU